This 88-nucleotide small nucleolar RNA is filed under the name Tursiops truncatus (common bottlenose dolphin). Lineage: Eukaryota; Metazoa; Chordata; Mammalia; Artiodactyla; Delphinidae. The record is from RNAcentral.
GUUGGAUAGAAGAAUGAAUGACCUUCCUGAGGCCAGUUCUGCUUCUGAGAAUGAAUUCCCAUACAGAAUGUGUUUCACUGAAUUCAAC